This 18-nucleotide small nuclear RNA is filed under the name Arabidopsis thaliana (thale cress). RNAcentral describes it as "snRNA_15900". The record is from RNAcentral. Lineage: Eukaryota; Viridiplantae; Streptophyta; Magnoliopsida; Brassicales; Brassicaceae.
GGAUGCUAACGCAAUGUG